This 314-nucleotide long non-coding RNA is filed under the name Mytilus galloprovincialis (Mediterranean mussel). The record is from RNAcentral. Lineage: Eukaryota; Metazoa; Mollusca; Bivalvia; Mytilida; Mytilidae.
GGCAUAUCUUUAAUAAUUAAAUUUAUUCACAUUUUCCUUAGACUUUAUGGUGCUUUACAUUUUGUUAAAAUAUUCAUCUACCGUUAAAUGAUUCUCUAUAAUCUGAUUUAAUGUGUCGUCCUGUUACUGUUUUUUAAAUCAGUUUCGUUUUCAGACGUUUUUAUAUGAUUUUUUUCGCACUUUUGGCACAACUUUUGGGAAUUUUGGGUCCUCAAUGCUCUUCAACUUUGUAUUUGUUUGGCUUUUUAACUAUUUUGAUCUGAGCGUCACUGAUGAGUCUUAUGUAGACGAAACGCGCGUCUGGCGUAUAAAAU